GGGGGUGACUGGUUUCGACUUGGGACGGUAGUCCCAGGGGAAGCGGGCCGAGAAUCCAGAGUCAACUCGUAAAUGUCCUCUGGAAACCUAUAACUGCCGAAAACAAUCGCGCAGACUUCGCUCUCGCUGCCUGAGCAGUGACCGAAGGGUCAGACCGGAUGUAGCCUUCCGUCCGGACCCUGGCCUCAUCAAGAAGGCUUGCUGAUCAUCCUGCGUCGCAGGGGCUGAUCGGGACUUUACUGUGACUGGGCCUGUCUGCACAUGCCGAUGUGAGUGCAGGGGCCAAGUAGAACGUAACGUCGGAUGCGCCCGGAGAAGCCCUGGUUCGCCUCUCGAGGACGCGGGUUCAAUUCCCGCCACCUCCACGC
RNAcentral lists this transfer-messenger RNA (368 nucleotides) under Propionibacteriaceae. RNAcentral's name for it is "Aestuariimicrobium sp017355265 Standard tmRNA". It matches the Rfam family "transfer-messenger RNA". From Rfam's summary of the family: Bacterial tmRNA, also known as 10Sa RNA or SsrA, is named for its dual tRNA and mRNA-like properties. Its role is to liberate the mRNA from a stalled ribosome. Lineage: Bacteria; Bacillati; Actinomycetota; Actinomycetes; Propionibacteriales. RNAcentral also lists the same sequence under 1 other name. The record is from RNAcentral.